CCUACUUGCUUUAGAAGCAAGACAAAAAAGGAAAAAAAGUUAUUGGUAGAUAAGUGUGCUAGGGACAGAAGGAAACUUCCCUCCUUUCUGAAAGUAUUCCAUGUUAAUAUACAUUUUAUUUAUUCUGAGUUUGUUCUAAAGAAAGUAGGAACUUUGGAUUUGCAACAUUGCAAAGUUUAUACUUAGGAUUUUAAAUGCCUUUGAGAUUAAAACAUACAUUGCAGGACGCAAAAACUUACAAUAAUUAAAAUUGUAAAAGGGCACGUACUGCAUUGUUUGGCCAUGCUCUCAGUUAACGCAAACUCUGGUUGCAAAUGGACUUGAUGUUUCUUGCCUUCACUGUCAGGUUCAGCAGCAAGCCUGCAGGUGUCCCAGUGACGCCUGACCAGUGAGCUGGACUUUGUUCUGCUCUUCACGGUGAGGAGUGUUGCAUGGUGUGGGGUCUGUGCACUGGCACCUACUACAGGAACCUCAGCAACAAUGGUUUUGCACAAACAGUAGAGAACAGUGUUGGGUGACUGCAUCAUUAGUUGUAACAUUCUGGCAGCUAAGUUGCUACUUGCAGAAGGUUAAAAUGUAAAACUUUUCAAUAUUUACUCAGAAUAGUAUAACUUAUACACAAAUACUUGUAUUUUUAUUCAUUUAUUCAUCUGCUCACUUUUUAAUGUAUCUGUCACUUAACUGUUUCUCGCAGUGUUUUUCAGCUUGAUGUUUCUCAAGCUAAUUCCUGAAGGCAGUUGUUUAAUUAAGCAUUCUACCAUAGAGUAAUACACACCCUUGUUAGAGCUUUGGUUACUGUUGUAUGUUAUAGUAAGUCCAUUGCCUAUUCAGUUUAUUCUUAGCCCUGAUUGAGUUAUUGCUACUCCUUCUCUGCCCUUUCCUACUUUCACUCCCUCCCCCAGGCCUCCAGCACAUCUGCUCAGUGGUGCUGUGCUGUCACAAGACGAAGCAGGUGUAUUAUUGCAUAAUGAAUUUUGUGUACAUGUUUUUGGAAUGGUGAGAUCAGCUGAAGGGGGUGUGUUCAUAACAGUGUAUAUUGUUAGGAGCUGUGUCCCAGGACAAAAAGGUGAAUGACUGCACUUGAGAAGUCCUGCAGAAAGCCGGAUUCAUUGUUGCUGUGAGCUGUAUACACUGGUGAACAUCUCCAGCUUCCACUUCACUGUUCUCCCUGUGAACAGUUUACCAGUGCCAUGCUGAAAAGACAUCCAAGUGAUAAUAUGAAUGAAGUCUUAAAAUAUAGAAUAUUUUUACUUCUAUAUAAUCUAAUGACCACAUUGUGCAUCUUUUGUAACACUGUCUCUUGUCAUGAUUAACACUGAAAUAGCAUGUUUAAAGGUUGCCUAUACUUUAAUAGAGUCAGUUGGGGAAAACUGGAUUUUCCCUCUGCUGUAUGAUUGUUCCUUGAAGGGUAAAUUGCUAAUUUUAUACUGUGUAAUUCUGUUCUUUACAAAAUAGGUAUCACUAUUCUGUAUUAAAACUGUUGGUCAGAAAAUGAUCUGCUGUUCAAAUACAGUCUUGCAUAACUAAUCUUUAGUAUGGGAUGAUUUUGAUACUGUCUGGAGUUUUGCACUGGAUAUUAAAUACAUUGGUAUUGGCAUCAUAUAUUAGAAGAAAAUAAGUAGUAUCUGGUUUGAUUUUUAAUAUUUGGGGACUUUUUAAAAUCAGUAUUUCAAUUUGUCUAAUAAUCCUUUGUAUUUUUAUUUACUUUUUAAAGCAAAUAUCGGUCAGAAUAGUGUUCAUUCUAAACUGGUAUUUGUGUGAAUUUGCAUAUAUGGCUUCACAAACUAGGACUAGAGUUUAACAAAGGGGAAAACAUCUGGAUCCAUUUACUAGGUGAAGAGUGAUCCAUCUGGUGUAAGAAUGACCAGUGUGUGGACUUCAGGAAAAAAAGAAAAACAACAACUCUGUAUUCUAAAAAGCUUUAAAAGAACAAUUCAGGGGAUAUUAAAGGUAACUGUUAGUCAUUGUCUCUAUAUGCAGUAAAAUUUUAUGAUCCCUUCCUAGUGAAAUAUGAGAAUUCACGAUAGUUAUUCAAAAUGCUGUUUCCUUUUCCCCUUGGACAUAAAUUGUGAUGCUGUUAUUUUUUUUGUUUUAUUAUGACUUCACUUUAUGCUCCUAAACUCUAGGAUGUAUCUGAAUCUUUCCAUUGCUUCCCCCCACCUUCCUCCCACAUACACAAGUCUGUGCCCUUACAUGUAUGUGUUUAAUUUUUAGAAAGUAUAAUGUUGUAGUAAUUCAAGUGCGUGAUUUAAAGUAAUCAGUUCACUUUGAUUCUUAAUAAGUUUUCAAAAUUUCCUUUUCCACAGAUGAUUAUGGGGAAAGAUAAUUACCAAUUAAUUGAUAAGCACGCUGUCCUCUGCUGUAAAAAGUCUGAAUAGAUACUGUGUAUGUUUUUAUGUCCAUGAACUUGAGCUACUCGUGUGCAAUUACGUGUAUGGGAAUGGAGUAGUGUUCAUGAUUUGUAUCUACAUCAUCAUAUGGAUGUAUAUUUAUUAAUAAAGUCAUUACUUUAAAACCA
This is a long non-coding RNA of Ochotona princeps (American pika), 2518 nucleotides long. RefSeq lists it as uncharacterized. The record is from RefSeq and is a predicted model, not a curated record. NCBI's taxonomy places the organism in Eukaryota, Metazoa, Chordata, Mammalia, Lagomorpha, Ochotonidae. The transcript has 2 exons.